Molecule: ribosomal RNA, 444 nt
Filed under: uncultured Bacillota bacterium
Lineage: Bacteria; Bacillati; Bacillota
Description: bacterial SSU rRNA
Rfam family: Bacterial small subunit ribosomal RNA
Source: RNAcentral
GACCCCGCACAAGCAGCGGAGCAUGUUGAUUAAUUCGACGCAACGCGAAGAACCUUACCAGGGCUUGACAUCCUAUGAAUCUGCAAGAGAUUGCGGAGUGCCUUUCGGGGAACAUAGAGACAGGUGGUGCAUGGUUGUCGUCAGCUCGUGUCGUGAGAUGUUGGGUUAAGUCCCGCAACGAGCGCAACCCUUACGGUCAGUUACCAGCGAGUAAAGUCGGGGACUCUGACAGGACAGCCGGGGUAACCCGGAGGAAGGUGGGGACGACGUCAAAUCAUCAUGCUCCUUACGUCCUGGGCUUCAAACGUGCUACAAUGGGCGCAACAAAGGGCAGCGAGGCGGUAACGCGGAGCGAAACCCAUAAAAGCGUUCUCAGUUCGGAUUGAGGGCUGCAACCCGCCCUCAUGAAGUUGGAGUUGCUAGUAAUCGCAAAUCAGAAUGUUG